AGCUCCAAUAGCGUAUAUUAAAGUUGUUGCAGUUAAAAAGCUCGUAGUCUGACCUAUUUGGCCUUUUCCUUUGGAUUUGCCUGCAUUGUUGAGGCGCCCUUGUCUCUGGCUUCGGUCAGUGGGCUUGGACUGUCUUUUGUGCGGGGGGCCAAAUUUGUACUUCGGAGGAACUUGGGUCCUCUUCAUUGAGUGCCCUGUGGGAUUCCGAUAGUUUACUUUGAGAAAAAUAGAGUGUUCAAAGCAGGCGUUUUGCCCUUGAAUACGUUAGCAUGGGAUAAUGAAAUAGGACAUUGGUUCUCUAUUUCUGAUGGUUUGAAGGACCGAUGUAAUGAUUAAUAGGGACAGUUGGGGACAUUCAUAUUUCAUGGCUAGAGGUGAAAUUCUUGGAUUCAUGGAAGAU
RNAcentral lists this ribosomal RNA (400 nucleotides) under phytoplankton environmental sample. RNAcentral describes it as "partial small subunit ribosomal RNA". It matches the Rfam family "Eukaryotic small subunit ribosomal RNA", at positions 587 to 936 of the family's 1831-position model. The record is from RNAcentral.